Molecule: ribosomal RNA, 327 nt
Filed under: Salmonella enterica subsp. enterica serovar Kentucky
Lineage: Bacteria; Pseudomonadati; Pseudomonadota; Gammaproteobacteria; Enterobacterales; Enterobacteriaceae
Description: partial 23S ribosomal RNA
Rfam family: Bacterial large subunit ribosomal RNA
Source: RNAcentral
AAGGUUGGGUAACACUAACUGGAGGACCGAACCGACUAAUGUUGAAAAAUUAGCGGAUGACCUGUGGCUGGGGGUGAAAGGCCAAUCAAACCGGGAGAUAGCUGGUUCUCCCCGAAAGCUAUUUAGGUAGCGCCUCGUGAAUUCAUCUCCGGGGGUAGAGCACUGUUUCGGCUAGGGGGCCAUCCCGGCUUACCAACCCGAUGCAAACUGCGAAUACCGGAGAAUGUUAUCACGGGAGACACACGGCGGGUGCUAACGUCCGUCGUGAAGAGGGAAACAACCCAGACCGCCAGCUAAGGUCCCAAAGUCAUGGUUAAGUGGGAAACG